GGGAAAGCAGCUAAGGUAUCCAUUCCCUGAGGGGAAAAAAGGCUGUUUGGAGCUGUUAGCAAUCUAGGAGGAGAAAGAAACUCUGUCCAAAUCGCACAAAGGGACCAGGAGAGAGAAACCACCCGCACAGAAUGUGAAAUGUAGUGAUUCAAUAAUUCUAAACAUUAUCUGAUGCCCACCAUGAUUUUAUUUUUAAGCAUUCUCUACACCCAGUGUGGGGAUCAAACUCACAACCCCAAGAUCGAGAGUCACAUGCUGUACUGACUGAGCCAGGAAAAAGAAGUGAGACAUUCAGAGUUGUUGGCUACUGGAGACUUUGGAAUGGGUCAAAUGUCAACUGAAGAGUACGGAUUGAUUGAGCACAUUCUUUAGUAUGUGCUUUCCAUUGUAAUCUCACUGAACAACUUGCAUACUCUGUCUGGGAAACACACUGCAAGGCCACCCUUGGAGCCACCAACUGAUCCCAAACACAACGAUCUUUUUAUUGUACUGCUGUCGUGUGGCAUUUCUGCAGUCAUGCUGAUUAGGCCAACCUUAUCCCAGCUACCUGAAGGACAGUCAUGAUGGAGAAGAAUGUUUGGGCUGCUUCUCUCUGUGGAGACUCAUCUGACCAAAGCCCAAUUUGAUGAACGUAAGGGCUGUAGGAUCCACUCUUCCAACUAGGUCCGCCCUGCUCUGAAGACCCACCUUCUUUUGGCUGGAAAAUGAAUCUGCGAACAUCUUUGAGAAGGAGUUACUGAACAUUGUGCAAACGACAGACAGCACUUAAGUUCCCAUUAGCUACCAGAAGAAAACUCAAAGUUUAUUAACGAGUAGCUGAUUGUCUUUAUCGCACCGAGGCUUACGUCUUAACACCCAAGAAGGAAGGAGUGAAAUCUGCCUCAGUACUUCCAUGGAAUUCCUUCUCGAAGUUUGAUUCAAUUCCUGUUCAUGUGUAAGACAUAAGCCUUAUGCCAUGAAAUUCCCAUUUUAACUGGUUGUCGGCUGUAAGUUAAUAUGCAGACUUAUUUCGCUUCUCCCCCUCCACGCUUGUGCACAAUGCUUUGAAUGUUCUGUGUUUUCCUUGCCUUUGAUUGCCAAUCCAUCCCGGGCUCUCAUUUCCUCCUCUCCUGCCUUUUGGCCGGCAUAAUUUUGGAACUUAAAAAAAAAAAAAAUGCAUCCUCUGUCUUUUCUCAUAGGCUCCAUUUGCAUUUUAGUCGAUUUUGGACAUUUUUUCUACAAUGUAUUCAAUAUGCUUUAUUUCCUGUUUUUAUAAGCUUUAUAUAACUUCAGAAAAAUGUGAUCCAAGGCAUGUCUGGGUGAGAGGUGGCUGUUAUUUUUUUACUGUGACAUGGAAGAUAUUGACCUGCAGUGUCUACACUGGGCAUAACUGUUUGCAGAGUUGUCUUUUUUCCUUUUAAUUUUAUUUUUGAGAGAGCACGAGCCAGGGAGAGGGGCAGAGGGAGAGGGAGAGCAAGAAUUUCAAGGAGGUUCCUCGUUCAGCUCAGAGUCCGACAUGGGGCUCCAUCCCAUGACUCUGGGAUCGUGACCUGAGCUGAAAUCAAGAAUCGGAGGCUCAACCGACUGAGCCACCCCUGCAGAGUUGUCUUUAGAUGACCGUGACCAGAGGUAUUUUCCAGGGUUCUUCAUCUUGGUCAGCUGGGUGCCCAGGAAGGCAGCUGGUAGGGCAUACUUGCAGGCAAUUAGCGUGUAUGCACUGAACACUCUAUCUCACCAAACCAAAAGGUGAGAUCAUUUCUGCUAUCCUUCCAUUGGCCCCACCUCCUUGUUUUCCAUGUUAACCCUACAGGUGACCUGUGAGCAAUGUGAGUUUGAACUAUGUGGGUCCACCUAUAUGUGGCGUCUUUUCAAUUAAUACCGUACAGUCCUAUAAAUGUAUUUUCUCUUGUGACUUUCUUCAUAACAUUUUCUUCUUUCUAGCUUCCUCCUCUGUAAGAAUGCAGCUUAUAGUACAUUCAACAUACAAACUACGUGUUAAUCGGCUGUUUGUGUUAUUGGUAAGGGUUCCAGUCAACAGUGGGCUAUUAGUCGUGAAGUUUUUGGAGGAGUCAGUUACAUAUGGAUUUUUGACUGCAUGGGAGGUCAGUGCCCUCAACCCCUACAUUGUUCAAGGGUCAACGGUAGUUGAUUUUACUCAGUAAAAUGCAUAAAUUGUAAGUGUUCAGCACAAGGAAUUUUGACAAAUGUAUGCACCCUGAUUACAACAUAAAACAAUUCCAUCAUUCUGGAAAGUUCUUUCACAUUUCUUUCUAGUCGAUUCCUAUUCUCACAGACCUCAACUACAGGUAAUCACUGACCUGCUUUCUGUCAUAUAAUUCAGUUUUCUAUGCUUAAGAACUUCCUAUAAAUGUACAUAUGUAUACAUAUGUAUACUUUCAUUUAUGCAUCAUUUCACUCAGUGUAUUGUUUUUGAGAUUUAUCUAUAUUAUGUAUAUCAGUAGUGUAUUCUUUUAUUUAUUUAUUUUUUUGCUCUGUAGUAUGCCUGUAUGAAUGUACCACAAUUUGUUGACCCAUUUUUCUUUUUUUUUAAUUUUUAAAAGUUUAUUUUUGAGAGAGAGAGAGAGAGACAGACAGACAGAGACAGAGCACAAGCAGGGGAGGGGCAUAGCUAGAGGGAAACACAGAAUUAGAAGCAGGCUCCAGCCUCUGAUCUGUCUGCACAGAGCCCGACGUGGGGUUUGAACCCAUGAAUGGCAAGAUCAUGAACUGAGCUGAAGUGGGACACUCAACUGAUUGAGCCACCCGACCCCGAUCCAUUUUUCUAUUGAUGGACAUCUGGGCUAUUUUCAAAUUUUUCUUUUUUUUUUUUUUUCGAGUUUAUUUAUUUUGAGACAGAGAGAGACUGAGAGAAAGGGUGGUGGGGGGUGGCGGGGCAGAGUGUGCACCAGCAGGGGAGGGGCAGAGAGAAAGGGAGAGAGAGAAUCCCAAGAAGGCUCUGCACUGUCAGCACACAGCCCAAUGUGGGGUUGGAACUCACGAACCAUGACCUGAGCUGAAGUCAAGAGUCUGACACUUAACCGACCAAGCCACCCAAGUGCUCCCAAUUUUUUUCUUUUUAUUCAUAAAGCUGCUAUUGAUGGACAGGUCUUUUUAGGAACAUAUACAUUUGCUUCUCUUGGUCUAUAUCUAGCAGUGUUAUUGCUAGGCCACAGGGUAGAUGAAUAUUUAAAUGUAUCAGAGAAUGCCAGUGUUUUCAAAAUGAUCGUACAGUUUUAAACUCUCACCAGCAAUAUGUGAGAGUUCUAAUUGUUCCACGUCCUUGUCAACACUUAGUAGAGUUAGUUUUUAAUUUUAGCUAUUAUUGUAAUUGGGUAAAGGUAGCUCAUUGCGGUUUUACUUUGUACUUCCUGAUGGCUAAAGAUGUUGAGCACCAUUUCAUAUGCCUAUUGAAUGUCUUUGUCCAUUCUGGAUUGUAUAAUGAGAAUGCCACAGACUGGGUGCCUUAACUGCUAACAUUUAGUUUUUAUAGUUCUGGAGACUUGGAAGAGACCAUUUCUUGGCUUGUAGAGAGCCAUUUUCUUGCUGUAUCCUCGCAUGCCAGGGAGAAAGAGAGAUAGACACAUAGAGGGAUAGAGAAAUAAAGAUGGGGCCGGCUCUUGUGUUCCUUCUUAUAAAGGGCGCUAACUAAUCACCUCCUAAUGACU
Long non-coding RNA from Acinonyx jubatus (cheetah), 3644 nucleotides. RefSeq lists it as uncharacterized. NCBI's taxonomy places the organism in Eukaryota, Metazoa, Chordata, Mammalia, Carnivora, Felidae. The transcript has 6 exons. The record is from RefSeq and is a predicted model, not a curated record.